UACACUCCUACGGGAGGCAGCAGUGGGGAAUUUUGGACAAUGGGCGAAAGCCUGAUCCAGCAAUGCCGCGUGUGUGAAGAAGGCCUUCGGGUUGUAAAGCACUUUUGUCCGGAAAGAAAUCCUUGGCUCUAAUACAGUCGGGGGAUGACGGUACCGGAAGAAUAAGCACCGGCUAACUACGUGCCAGCAGCCGCGGUAAUACGUAGGGUGCGAGCGUUAAUCGGAAUUACUGGGCGUAAAGCGUGCGCAGGCGGUUUGCUAAGACCGAUGUGAAAUCCCCGGGCUCAACCUGGGAACUGCAUUGGUGACUGGCAGGCUAGAGUAUGGCAGAGGGGGGUAGAAUUCCACGUGUAGCAGUGAAAUGCGUAGAGAUGUGGAGGAAUACCGAUGGCGAAGGCAGCCCCCUGGGCCAAUACUGACGCUCAUGCACGAAAGCGUGGGGAGCAAACAGGAUUAGAAACCCCUGUAGUCCCAUG
RNAcentral lists this ribosomal RNA (476 nucleotides) under uncultured organism. RNAcentral's name for it is "partial 16S ribosomal RNA". It matches the Rfam family "Bacterial small subunit ribosomal RNA", at positions 332 to 799 of the family's 1533-position model. The record is from RNAcentral.